This 520-nucleotide ribosomal RNA is filed under the name uncultured Scutellospora. Its description in RNAcentral is "SSU rRNA". It matches the Rfam family "Eukaryotic small subunit ribosomal RNA", at positions 569 to 1092 of the family's 1831-position model. The record is from RNAcentral. Lineage: Eukaryota; Fungi; Glomeromycota; Glomeromycetes; Diversisporales; Gigasporaceae.
AGCAGCCGCGGUAAUUCCAGCUCCAAUAGCGUAUAUUAAAGUUGUUGCAGUUAAAAAGCUCGUAGUUGAAUUUCGGGGUUCUACCGUUGGUCGGGCUUUGUCUGUACUGGUGUGUAGAAUUUCUACCUUCUGGGGAACCAUCAUGUUAUUAAUUUAACGUGGUGGGAAACCAGGACCUUUACCUUGAAAAAAUUAGAGUGUUCAAAGCAGGCUUAUGUCUGAAUACAUUAGCAUGGAAUAAUAAAAUAGGACGGUGGUCCUGUUUUGUUGGUUUCUGAAUCACCGUAAUGAUUAAUAGGGAUAGUUGGGGGCAUUAGUAUUCAAUUGUCAGAGGUGAAAUUCUUGGAUUUAUUGAAGACUAACUUCUGCGAAAGCAUUUGCCAAGGAUGUUUUCAUUAAUCAAGAACGAAAGUUAGGGGAUCGAAGACGAUCAGAUACCGUCGUAGUCUUAAACCAUAAACUAUGCCGACUAGGGAUCGGACGAUGUUUAAUUUUUCUUGACUUCGUUCGGCGCCUUACG